UACAGAGGGGGCAAGCGUUGUUCGGAAUUACUGGGCGUAAAGGGCACGCAGGCGGUCAUGUAAGUCUGUUCUGACAGCUCCUGGCUCAACCGGGAGAGGCGAACGGAAACUGUAUGACUUGAGGACUUCAGAGGGACACGGAAUUCCGGGUGGAGUGGUGAAAUGCGUAGAGAUCCGGAGGAACACCAAAGGCGAAGGCAGUGUCCUGGGAAGUACCUGACGCUCAGGGUGCGAAAAGCC
Molecule: ribosomal RNA, 240 nt
Filed under: uncultured bacterium
Lineage: Bacteria
Description: partial 16S ribosomal RNA
Rfam family: Bacterial small subunit ribosomal RNA
Source: RNAcentral